CCGGCGCACGGGUGAGUAACACGUAUCCAACCUGCCGUCCACUCUUGGCCAGCCUUCUGAAAGGAAGAUUAAUCCAGGAUGGGAUCAUGAGUUCACAUGUCCGCAUGAUUAAAGGUAUUUUCCGGUAGACGAUGGGGAUGCGUUCCAUUAGAUAGUAGGCGGGGUAACGGCCCACCUAGUCAACGAUGGAUAGGGGUUCUGAGAGGAAGGUCCCCCACAUUGGAACUGAGACACGGUCCAA
This 241-nucleotide ribosomal RNA is filed under the name uncultured bacterium. RNAcentral describes it as "partial 16S ribosomal RNA". It matches the Rfam family "Bacterial small subunit ribosomal RNA", at positions 95 to 334 of the family's 1533-position model. The record is from RNAcentral.